This 538-nucleotide ribosomal RNA is filed under the name Fusarium solani. RNAcentral's name for it is "eukaryotic LSU rRNA". The stretch from base 149 to 302 matches the Rfam family "5.8S ribosomal RNA". Lineage: Eukaryota; Fungi; Ascomycota; Sordariomycetes; Hypocreales; Nectriaceae. The record is from RNAcentral.
GCUGGCAGGUGGCGCUCUCACCCUGUGACAUACCUAAAACGUUGCUUCGGCGGGAACAGACGGCCCUGUAACAACGGGCCGCCCCCGCCAGAGGACCCCUAACUCUGUUUUUAUAAUGUUUUUCUGAGUAAACAAGCAAAUAAAUUAAAACUUUCAACAACGGAUCUCUUGGCUCUGGCAUCGAUGAAGAACGCAGCGAAAUGCGAUAAGUAAUGUGAAUUGCAGAAUUCAGUGAAUCAUCGAAUCUUUGAACGCACAUUGCGCCCGCCAGUAUUCUGGCGGGCAUGCCUGUUCGAGCGUCAUUACAACCCUCAGGCCCCCGGGCCUGGCGUUGGGGAUCGGCGGAAGCCCCCUGUGGGCACACGCCGUCCCUCAAAUACAGUGGCGGUCCCGCCGCAGCUUCCAUUGCGUAGUAGCUAACACCUCGCAACUGGAGAGCGGCGCGGCCAUGCCGUAAAACACCCAACUUCUGAAUGUUGACCUCGAAUCAGGUAGGAAUACCCGCUGAACUUAAGCUCGAAAAAGGGGGGAAGAGAAA